This 997-nucleotide long non-coding RNA is filed under the name Homo sapiens (human). Its description in RNAcentral is "non-protein coding lnc-GBE1-9:1". The record is from RNAcentral. Lineage: Eukaryota; Metazoa; Chordata; Mammalia; Primates; Hominidae.
CAGAUUAUUUCUUUUUUGAAUGAUGAUAAGAAAACCUAGGCAAUUUCUCACUACAUAGAUCUGUUCAUAAUAUUCAUUUAAGGCAACAAAAGUUCUUACUAUUAGAAAAAAAGUCUACUGUUGCAACUUAACAAUGAUUUAAAUUAUAUCUAGUUUUAUUUGGUUCAUGAAAUGGUAUCUUUCUGAAGUCAUUUUAGGAUAGAAUUUAGGAAACAUGGUGAUUUGGGGUAAAUAUUUUAGUUUCACAAGUUAUGGUUAACAUAUUAUGUCCUUAUGUACAUUUCCUAAUAAAUUUUCUAGAAAUGAGUAAUGGUAAUUUUUUUUUCACUGUUAUAUUCAUUUACAAAAGUAUCAUUUUCUGUUCUUAUUCAUGAAAUGGACAGCAUUUCUCUUUGUGGCCCUGUUGCCUUUUUUUUUCAAGAAAACGCAGAUAUUGCCCACUCCUGGUGAUUUUCCUUGCCUCAGACAUGCACUUGUGGUUUAUGUCACUCAUUUGGCCCUAGUUCAUAUCAUUAGUUAUUUUUUGAAGUUUGAUUUCAUUGAAUCAACAAGGUAUUUUUAACUAUUUGAUGUCAGGGCUCAUGCUGACAAUGAAUUCAGAAAUGGGAGAAUGUCAUGGAUAAGAAUAAUAAAGAACAAUUUUACAGAUAAAUCUGUAUUUAAACUGGAUCUUGGGAGAUUCAUCUACGUAGAGAGGAAGAAUAGUUCAUCAGUAAAUAUGAUGUUAGCAUUACAUUUCAGGUUUAAAUCGUAUUAAAGUUUUCUUCUGUUUCCAACUGGUUGACAGAUAAAAUGGCAAUAUUUUAGCUCUAUCUUGCAUAUUGAUGCUUGGGUGUUUAAAUCUUUGACAAGUGGGAAAUCUUCUUAUUGAUUCCUGAGUUCUCUGGAGAAAAAUCUUAGCAUAUAUAUGCAUAUAUAUAGCACACAUACACACACAUAUGUAUAUGUUUUAAAUAAAUGUAUAUAAAUAUAUACAUAUAUAUUAUAUACAUGUACA